RNAcentral lists this ribosomal RNA (463 nucleotides) under uncultured bacterium. RNAcentral describes it as "partial 16S ribosomal RNA". It matches the Rfam family "Bacterial small subunit ribosomal RNA", at positions 28 to 507 of the family's 1533-position model. The record is from RNAcentral.
GAUGAACGCUGACAGAAUGCUUAACACAUGCAAGUCUUUGGCGAAGCUGUGCUUGCACAGCCUAGCCAAGGCGGACGGGUGAGUAACGCGUAAGGAACUUGCCCUGCAGUCAGGGAUAACAGACGGAAACGACUGAUAAGACCUGGUAAAGUCAGGCGGACUCAUGUCCAGCCUGAUGAAAAGAGAUGCUGCAGGAGAGCCUUGCGUCCUAUUAGCUUGUUGGUGGGGUAACGGCCCACCAAGGCGAUGAUAGGUAGCCGGCCUGAGAGGGUGGACGGCCACAAGGGGAAUGAGAGACGGCCCUUACGCCUACGGGAGGCAGCAGUGGGGAAUAUUGGACAAUGGGGGCAACCCUGAUCCAGCAAUUCGGUGUGCACGAUGAAGGUUUUCGGAUUGUAAAGUGCUUUCAGCAGGGAAGAAAAAAAUGACGGUACCUGCAGAAGAAGCGACGGCUAAAUACGUG